UGGCUGCCUUCUUGCUAUGUCCUCACAUGUCAGGGAGCCAGUGAACUCUGGCAUUUCUUCUUAUAAGGACUAAUCCUAGCAGAUCAGAAACCCACCCUUACGACCCCAUUUAACCUUAAUUGCCUCCAUAAAAGCCCUAUCUCCAGAUACACUGCUGGGCUUUAAUGUAUGAAUUUGGAGGUGGGGUGGGACAAAUAUUCAGUCCAUAACAAUUUCCAUCAAUAAAUUCUAUUUUUUUAACCCUGUCUCAGACAGUUUUUAAAAUUUAAACCAUGUUGUCAUAUCUAUCUUAUGCUACGUGAACCUAAAAGUAAAUUCUUCUCCAUGGAAUUUCUUAUUUGCUCAUUAUUGAUUUCAUAAUCAAUUGCCUGCUAUUCCUUAGGUACUGUUCUAGGUUUCAGGAAGUCAUUAAUAAACAAAAAUGACAAAAAUUAAUUUCUACCUGGAGCUUACACUCCAUCGGUGAGGCAGACAAUGCCUAAGAGUAAAAUCUAUACCAUGCCAGAUAGCAUUAAAUGCAAAGAGACCAAAAUAAAGCAGGAAAGGGCAUUAUGAACUAUUGCGGCAAGGGAAGUUGAAAUUUUAGAUGGAAAAGGAAGUGAGAAACUGGCUGUGUGUAUAUCUGAGAGGAGAACACACCAAGCAGAGAAAACAACAAGAAUCAAAGAGGCUGAGGUAGGGAAGUGGUUGGUUGUUCAGGGAAGAGCAAAGAGGUCAAUAUCAUUGGAACAGAGUAAAUGAAACUUACGGUAUUAGGAGAUGAAGUUCCAGAGGUGUCAGAACCAGGCCAUUUAGGCUCGGGUUGAUUAUUUUCUAAAAAAAGAUUUUUCUUUAUUACUCUGAGUGUAAUGGGAAGCUAUUAGGAAGUUUAGACUGGUAGAAAGUGGGGCAAGAUCUGGCUAAUGUUUUAACAAGAUCACUCUGAUUGGGGCAUUGAAAAAACUUUGGAGAGUACAGAGAAGGAAGGGGACCAGUUAAGAGGCUACCGCCUUAGUCCAGCUAAGAGAUUAGGGCUUAAUUUUAUGUGGGAGUGGAGGUUUCUAGAAGGUAGUCCAAUUCCCUUAUAGUUUGAAAAUGGAAAGAGCAGAAUUAGUUGUUGUUUUGGACUAUAUAUUGAUGACGAGUUCUAGCACGUUUAUCUUUAAUUCCAAGUAUAUUUUUUGUAUAUAUAUUUUUUUUUUUUUGGUAGAGACAGGGUUUUGCCAUGUUAGCCAGGCUUGUCUUGAACUCCUGACCUCAGGUGAUUGACCACCUUGGCGUCCAAAGUGCUAAUAUUACAGGCGUAAGCCACUGCUCCUAGACAGGAUUUCACUUU
Long non-coding RNA from Sapajus apella (tufted capuchin), 1315 nucleotides. RefSeq lists it as uncharacterized. Lineage: Eukaryota; Metazoa; Chordata; Mammalia; Primates; Cebidae. The record is from RefSeq and is a predicted model, not a curated record. The transcript has 3 exons.